GGGGCUAUGAUGUAGGGGUAACAUCGAGACUUCGCAUUUUCGAACAUGUCUCGUCCCCGCGUUCGAGUCGCGGUAGCUCCA
Non-coding RNA from Naematelia encephala, 81 nucleotides. NCBI's taxonomy places the organism in Eukaryota, Fungi, Basidiomycota, Tremellomycetes, Tremellales, Naemateliaceae. The record is from the annotation of a GenBank genome assembly.